UACGGAGGAUCCGAGCGUUAUCCGGAAUGAUUGAGCGUAAAGGGCGAGUAGGCGGCUCUGUAAGUCUGGAGUGAAAGUCCUCUUUUCAAGGGAGGAAUUGCUUUGGAAACUAUAGAGCUUGAGUGCAGGAGAGGUUAUCGGAAUUCCCGGUGUAGCGGUGAAAUGCGUAGAUAUCGGGAGGAACAUCGGUGGCGAAGGCGGGUAACUGGACUGCAACUGACGCUGAGGCGCGAAAGUGUGGGGAGCAAACAGGAUUAGAUACCCUGGUA
Molecule: ribosomal RNA, 269 nt
Filed under: uncultured prokaryote
Description: partial 16S ribosomal RNA
Rfam family: Bacterial small subunit ribosomal RNA
Source: RNAcentral